This 576-nucleotide ribosomal RNA is filed under the name uncultured eukaryote. Its description in RNAcentral is "SSU rRNA". It matches the Rfam family "Eukaryotic small subunit ribosomal RNA", at positions 174 to 758 of the family's 1831-position model. The record is from RNAcentral.
UAAAAACCCCGACUUCGGAAGGGGUGUAUUUAUUAGAUACAAAACCAGUGCCCUUCGGGGCUCUUUGGUGAUUCAUGAUAACUAUACGAAUCGCACGGCCUUGCGCCGGCGAUGGUUCAUUCAAAUUUCUUCCCUAUCAACUUUCGAUGUUUGGGUAUUGGCCAAACAUGGUUGCAACGGGUAACGGAGGGUUAGGGCUCGACCCCGGAGAAGGAGCCUGAGAAACGGCUACUACAUCCAAGGAAGGCAGCAGGCGCGCAAAUUACCCAAUCCCGACUCGGGGAGGUAGUGACAAUAAAUACUGAUACAGGGCCCUUUCGGGCCUUGUAAUUGGAAUGAGUACAAUUUAAAUCCCUUAACGAGGAACAAUUGGAGGGCAAGUCUGGUGCCAGCAGCCGCGGUAAUUCCAGCUCCAAUAGCGUAUAUUAAAGUUGUUGUGGUUAAAAAGCUCGUAGUUGAACCUUGGGCCUGGCUGGCCGGUCCACCUCACCGCGUGCACUGGUCCGGCCGGGCCUUUCCCUCUGUGGAACCCCAUACCCUUCACCGGGCGUGGCGGGGAAACAGGACAUUUACUUU